AUCCAGCUGACGAGUACCGAAUAGGAGGAAAUGCGCAUCCAGGAU
This is a non-coding RNA of Schistosoma curassoni, 45 nucleotides long. NCBI's taxonomy places the organism in Eukaryota, Metazoa, Platyhelminthes, Trematoda, Strigeidida, Schistosomatidae. The record is from Rfam.